GCAAGUCUAUCAUGGGAAGAUUUUAGAAGAAAAAAGUCAACAAUCAUCGGCUCUCUCCCCCCCGCUUUUUUUUAAAUGUCGUAAUAUUUCCUUUUGAUAAUGGGCCGAGAGAAUUCCUUGAAGAAUUUGUAGCCACACGGUUCCUUGUCUAUUAAGUUGAUGGGUUCAAAUAGCUAAUUGAGGGUCUUCCGUGUGAGAGAAUGGGAGUUUUUACGAUUGAUGGUAAUGGUUUGGGUGGAAUAGUUCCAAUGUAGUGGGUGGUAGUAAAUGUAGUACAGGGUGAUUUAGUGGUGGAUGGCAUGUUCGCCGGAGGAUUCAUUAUUGGUCGGAGAGUGGGGAAGGUGGGAGGAGAGUGGAGAGAGGAAAGAGGUGAGACUAAAUAAUUAUUCAAUGUUUUGUAACAGGAGUUUUGGAGGAGUACUUUCACAUUCACUAAUUUAUGCUAUGAUUCCUCGAGAGGAAUCAUUUAAAGCAAUAGAGAAAAGCUUGUAGUGUCUUUAGAAAUAGAUUGUGAAGAGUAGUUCCAGGGAUUGGCAGUGGGGGGAUAGUUGGUGGCCAUGGAGGUUGGAGCUCAAGGCUAGGGAUUAGGGGUAAGAGGCAGGGGGCAAAGAAAGAGCUGGGUAUAGAAAGAUCAUUUUCCAGUAUGAUUUUCAUUUAGACAUACUGCACUUUUCACAUCUCCCUCAAAUCCAAGGCCUUCAAUUCAUCGCACUGCAGUUUGUAUAUGUUUCUUGGGCCAAGUCUCCUUAAAGUACUUUCUUCGUGAUGUGUAUGAGGAUCUGAUUCAGAUGUUAGUGGAUUUAUCUUCUGGGGAGAAUAUAUUUGUUACACAACCAUGUCGAGAUAAUACAUUAUAUCUUCUAAGGCUUAUUGAUGACAUGCUUAUAGCUGAACUUGACCAUCAGUUGCCGAUUCUAGCGACUGUCUUUGACUUUUCUCUCAACUCCACGGAACUGGAGCUUUACAUCUCUGCCUUACAUGAUGUUUUGCAAGGAGAAUCUGAUGACUGGACAGCAAGGUACUUCCAUCUCUUUCCUCAUUCUCCG
Molecule: non-coding RNA, 1046 nt
Organism: Benincasa hispida (wax gourd)
Lineage: Eukaryota; Viridiplantae; Streptophyta; Magnoliopsida; Cucurbitales; Cucurbitaceae
Source: RefSeq, a predicted model, not a curated record